This 516-nucleotide long non-coding RNA is filed under the name Rattus norvegicus (Norway rat). RNAcentral describes it as "long non-coding RNA NONRATT010690". Lineage: Eukaryota; Metazoa; Chordata; Mammalia; Rodentia; Muridae. The record is from RNAcentral.
UGCUGGCCCGUGCUGAGAAGAAAGCUGCUGGCAAAGGGGACAUCCCAACUAAGAGACCACCUGUCCUCCGAGCAGGGGUCAAUACAGUCACCACCUUGGUGGAGAACAAGAAGGCUCAGUUGGUGGUGAUUGCCCAUGAUGUAGACCCCAUUGAGCUGGUGGUCUUCCUGCCUGCCCUUUGUCGAAAGAUGGGGGUGCCCUACUGCAUCACCAAGGGCUUUCCAUCCAGGGCUGGGGCGCCUGGUCCACAGGAAGACAUGGACCACUGUUGCCUUCACACAGGUUAACUCGGAAGACAAGGGUGCUCUGGCUAAGCUGGUGGAAGCUAUCAGAACCAAUUAUAAUGACGGAUAUGACGAGAUCCGCCGCCACUGGGGAGGCAACGUCCUAGGUCCUAAGUCUGUGGCUCGCAUUGCCAAGCUGGAAAAGGCAAAGGCUAAAGAACUCGCCACUAAACUGGGUUAAAUGUACACUUAAGUUUUCUGUACAUAAAUAUAAUUACAAAAUUAAAAAAAA